UACGUAGGUCCCGAGCGUUGUCCGGAUUUAUUGGGUUUAAAGGGUGCGUAGGCGGUCCGUUAAGUCAGCGGUAAAAUUGCGGGGCUCAACCCCGUCGAGCCGUUGAAACUGUCAGACUUGAGUUGGCGAGAAGUACGCGGAAUGCGCGGUGUAGCGGUGAAAUGCAUAGAUAUCGCGCAGAACUCCGAUUGCGAAGGCAGCGUACCGGCGCCACACUGACGCUGAGGCACGAAAGCGUGGGGAUCGAACAGG
RNAcentral lists this ribosomal RNA (252 nucleotides) under uncultured bacterium. RNAcentral describes it as "partial 16S ribosomal RNA". It matches the Rfam family "Bacterial small subunit ribosomal RNA", at positions 524 to 776 of the family's 1533-position model. The record is from RNAcentral.